CGCCAAGCUGUGGCCGGGGCUGGGCGCGGCAGGCACAAGAGCGAGGGGAGGCGGUCUGGCUCGCGCGCUUCGGCGUGCGGUGAGCCUUGCAGCCCCCGCCCCCCGCCACCGCCGCCUUUCUGUCUCCUCUCUCCCUCCGUACUGGACUCCGGUGCAUUUCCGGCCCGGGGGAGUUCGGCGUCGACCCGGCCAGCCCGCGAGGUGGGCGUGCGCCGAGGUCUCCGUGCGCCCGAGGCCCAGCGGCCGCCAUGGCCGACGUGAGCGUGGAUCAGUCCAAGUUGCCCGGCGUGAAGGAAGUGUGUCGAGAUUUUGCUGUCCUGGAGGACCACACCCUGGCUCACAGCCUGCAGGAGCAAGAGAUUGAGCAUCAUUUAGCAUCCAACAUUCAGCGGAACCGUCUGGUCCAGCAUGAUCUGCAGGUUGCCAAGCAGCUCCAAGAGGAAGACCUCAAAGCCCAAGCUCAGCUCCAGAAGCGCUACAAAGCCCUUGAACAACAUGAUUGUGAAAUUGCUCAGGAAAUCCAGGAGAAGCUGACAAUCGAGGCUGAGAGACGACGUAUUCAGGAGAAGAAGGAUGAGGACAUAGCACGUCUUUUGCAAGAGAAGGAACUACAGGAAGAGAAAAAGAGGAAGAAACACACUCCAGAGUUUUCUGGAGGCAGUGCUUCUGGAGAUAACUACUAUUAUGAGGAUGGAGACCAGUCAAGGUCAAGGAGGGACAGGGAACUGGGUUCUGGACACUCAAAAUCUGGUAGACUCCAAAACGAUGGGAAGACUGUAAAGCAGAAGGAAAACUUGAGGCAUCGGCAGGAGAACUUGGAAGAGCUGGACGAACAGCAUCCGUCAGAGAGACCCCUGCCUUCUGUGAGCUGGGGCAGAGGGAGGGAUGAUGUCCACACUGCCUGUGAGCAGCAGGAAAGGAAGCAGCGCGGUCGGGAGAGGCCCUGGAAGUCCCCGCUGCCGAAGAUCAGUGGGGAGGUGUUUCUGACUGGCUCUGAAGACUGGGAAGCUAACUGUAGCCCUGGAACUCCGAGUUGGGAAAAGCAGUCUCGACACCAUGGCAGACUUUCACCCAAGUCUUCACAGAAAACAGGACUUCCCUGUAAGGAAAUUGUGUAUGGGAGGGACCUUGGGCAAGGUAACCACAGAGAAAGGAGACAUAGGCCCAGAACUUCUCCCUUCUCAGAGGAUAAAGAACUUCGCCACCACCAUGUUGCAGGAAUGAAAUCAAGAGGAAUAAAUGAAGCUGUCUCUGCUCCAGCUCGAGUGAGUCACAGGGACCAGGAGUGGUAUGAUGCAGAAAUUGCCCGGAAAUUGCAAGAAGAAGAACUUUUGGCUACUCAUAUGGACAUAAGAGCAGCUCAGGUUGCCCAGGAUGAGGAAAUUGCUCGACUUCUGAUGGCUGAAGAAAAAAAAGCUUACAAGAAAGCCAAAGAUCGAGAAAAGUCAUCUUUGGACAAAAGGAAACAUGACUAUGACUGCAAGUCAAAAGCAAAGUCAGCACACUCAAAGUCAAAAGAAGGUGAUGAAACACAGCGUGCCAAGAUUGACAGGCCGUCACGACCACCGCCACCCGCAGCGAUGGCCCCUGAGGAUGUGGAUCCCACCCACUUCACAAACCAGCAUAGUAAUACACGUCAUUUUUCAAAGUCAGAGUCCUCACACAAAGGCUUCCAUAAUAAGCAGUAAAACAAAACAGAACAAAACAACAAAAAGGGAUCUGCCUCGAAAAUGGACUUCUUGUAGCACAUAUUACUGGAAGAUACAACAUGCAUUCCACAUUGGCUGUUGUCCUUCUAUGUGCCAUUGCUGGGAGUUUCUCUCAAGUGUUUUCUAACUAAAAACGUAUUUCACUUCAUUUUAAAAUGUUGGUUAUGUUUGUCACUUGGGCAGUGUAAGAAAAUGUACUUCUGAAUAUUGGCCAUCUCUUCUGUGGAAAUAUGCUGGGAUGUAAUAAGUCUAGGAAAUGACAGUUGCUAGUUAGAGGAUAUUGGCAUCUAGAGAAUUGAGUUUGUUUAGCAAUUAGAAGUGUACAGAGAUUCAUUAUCCAGGCAUAACAUUUGGAUUCAGGAGGCGGAGGAAAGUGUGAAAUGGCUACAUUGCUGUUCAUUCUUAUGAGACUAUAAAGACACAGCCUUUGCUUUUAUCCUUUUCAGAAAAAGUAAAAUCACAACAAUAAAGUAUAGGGAAGCCCAGAGCAGUGGAAACCUGUGUUCCUGAAUCAGUGGAUUGGUGGCGGCUCUGGGUGGCCGUGUAACCCUGACCCAUUAGCCUACUGCUGUUUCCUCAGGAUCAAGUCUUCUCCCAUGCCCUUAGGCAAUGAUCAUGUGCUAAUUUUUAUUUGUAUAGACCUUAAUUUUCAUAUUUUCUCAGGUCCAUGAAUUAAAGAACACGUAGCCUCCAUUGCCUUUUCUAAUUUAAUUAUAGAGUGAAAGGAAUAGAACAGUUUCCACAAGACUUGAUACUGUCCGUCAGUUCACCUAGCGUGCAGAUCCAGCCUCCUGAUCCUAGGAUACAACAGUUUUGGUUCACCUCACAGUGAUGUUUUAGGCACCUGCAAUAUUAGAUUAAUUCAAUGGAAGUUGAAUUUGAUGAAGUGAGUCAUUAUCCAGGUAUAUACAUCUAUGCAGAUGGUCAUCAUAUUCUUCUCUUAAGACCUUUAAACUGCUCUAGAAAGCCUCAGUCUGUGUAUUUAUCCGUACCCCUUACUAAUCUAAAUGGCAGCUGUGCCUGCUGAACCUACAGAUGAGUGCCAUUUUCCCAGCUUGACCUGCUCUUCUCUUCAAUGUAUGGAUCUGACGUUUUCUGUCAUUUCAGUAUGCUGUUUACUUAGACAGAAAUAAGGUUGCCGAGAAAUAAUUUAAGGACUACCUGCCUUCCAUUGCCUUGUCUUUUCAAACUGUCUUAAACUUGGGGAGGAUUCUGGGAGGCUGCUCCCAACAGAUUUUGAUCUCUGAUUUUGAAAACAAUCUUCUGUCAUAAAGUGACAGCUGAUAGAAAGUUGAGUGAAAAGUGGCAGGAGUGGAGCCGUGGGAGCCACAGUAAUCUGGAAAGACACACAGGGCUGUGGCAGUGCCGUCACGGGGAGUGAAUACAUGCUGAGUGUCAGCCAUCAAGCACGUGCAGGCAGAGCCUCCAGGGAAGGAGGCAAACGGAGAGCCCAGCCUUAAGUCAGUCUACAGAAUGGUUUUAAUGUCACAGCCUAGUCUUACCAACAGUGUAAUGCUGUGUCUUUCUUUAUCUGCCCUUUGCUAAAUUUUACUUCAGUUUUAAAGGUAUUAUGAAAUGGUAACUAAAGAAAAAAUAUAAUUGCAUUUUUAUUUGAUAAUUAGGCAAAAUAGACAACAUCUUCUGCCAUAUUUUAGUUUUAUAAAUAUUUAUUUUUCUAUCUCAUGAAAUAAUCACUUUUAACUAUAAAAGCUGCAUUUUUUGUUUUGCACGAACUUCAUUUAAUCAUAUUUAUUACUGUAAAAUGGACAUGUUUUAGUUUUAAAAAAUGCCAAGUCACUUAACCAGAAUGCUGGAGUCGCCAUGGAUGGCCAAAGGCAGUGCUACCUGUAUGAUGGCCAGCUCAACAUCAGUAUUGGAAAAUUUGUUACCUUUUAGGGUUUUUUUAAGGACUACAAUUUUAAAAUAUUUUAUUUUAUUUUAUUUUUGUAAAGUGAACAGUUUUUUAAGAGUACCAGUAAUUAUUAUGAGUAAGAAGAUAGAAAAAUGUUCUUAAUUAUUCUUAAUUAAAAUUUUUGCUAUCAGUCAAAUAAUAUAUCUUUGAGAUGAUCGAAACAACCAUCAGCUCCUAAUGAACUGCCAGUCUUCACUGUGGUCUCUGCUCUUUUAGUUUUUAACUUCUAUAUCAAAAGGAAAGCAUUUAUUUUGUUCCUGUUAUUGAGAACAUGCAAUUUAAUUAUUAGGUCCACACUGUAUUGUGUUUUGUUAUCAACACAUGGACUAAUUCUUCUAGCCUUGAGAACUCUUUGGUUUAUAAACCUGUUUUCUUUGCAGGCCGAGUGCUGUUAACCCCAGUAUUACUGCAUGAGCACCGUGUGUUAAGGAGCCCAUUGCAGGCUGCCUGGCACGACGCUAAAAGAUGCCAGUAAAAGUCAGCUUAAAUAUGCCGACCUGAAAGAUGAUUAGUCCCAGCAUUCAAGCUACUAUUCAUCAUAAUUGCCUUGUUAGGAGAAUAGAAAAAAUGCUUCUUUGUUCUCAGAGAAUAUUGAGAAUUUUUGCAAGUGACUUAUUGAAAUGCUGGGGGUCACGUGACUUCCUGACAAAUGGAAGUGUUGUAAGGAGCUCAAAACUCAAACAGCCACAACCAAACUAUGUGCUCUGAUUUGGAGAAACAUUUAAAUUAGGACGAGAGAUAUGCAUAAAUGUAUACCCAAAGAAAACUCUUUUCACUGCACCUAGGCAGCCAGUGUAAGGUAUGUGACCUGUGGUCCACUGGACGCUUUAAUACUGUCAGAGCUCCCCUAAGUCUAUUUGUGCCAAAUUCAAAGCAAAGACAAAAACAUACAGUAAUGCGGUGCAUCCUGUUUACCAUAUAAAUGGUUAGCAUUUUACAGCCUUGAUUUUUAAUGAGUAAUGCCUUUGUAUAAAACUCACUUUGGGAAAUAGGAAAAUCUGUUACCCUCCUCUCAAAAGUAACUCAUGAUUGGCUGAGGUCAUCAGCCUAGUGAAGGGCUGAGGCCCAUGUAGACAUGGAUCCAAGGCCUGAGGUAGAAUAGACUUCAAGUAAUGGCUUCUUCCGUUUGGGGAGGGUGGUGUUUGUGGAAGGAGCGCUGACAUUGAAGUCACACUGAUGAGGAGAUGUUCCCCUGUAUUUCACUGUGAACGCUGUGCCAUGUUCUCAGCACACUAUUACAAAACAGCUCCUUAAACAUUCAGAGUCUGAUCUUUUAUUGAAACCAGUCUGCAGUGUGUCUGUCAUACGCUGUUCAUAGCAAAGAAGUGACCCAGUCACCCAUUCUCUCUUCCCCUCUCACAACCAGAGAAGCAGCCCUAGAGUCUCCCCACUUCCCUCCCUGUCUGUGUGCUUUAGAGCCAUAGCUGUGUCUGACAGGUACCAGGAUGCUUGCUUCUUCCUACUCUGUAAUAAGGAAUACAGGCAGGGAGAGCCCAGAGCAGAGUAUCCUGCUAAUGCUGCAUGGAGCAGUAUUAUGGGAAUAUGUGGUGGGAGUUUUCGUUUGUUUGAUGAGUUUUUAUGAUGAUGAUGAUAUGUAAGAUAAUUGAAGGGAAGAAUUGAAGGCUUUGCUGCUUCCGCUAUAACUCAUCAGAAAUGCUCACAUUUAAUUGUAGCAUCUCCAAGAAGGCAAGGAUAAGCUAAUGACAUUAGUAAUAGCCACCUUUCUGAUGAGCCCUGCACUUUAUGCCAGCAAUGUCUGAAGAUGAGUUUUGCCUUAAAUUAGUUUGAAUCCACCCGAGGCCAUUGUGUUAGGUAUAUCUGAGGUCUCGUCAGCUCUCCACUGGCAUGCAAUUCAUAAAAGAGCCUCAAGCGUCACCAUCUCCUGGGAUGAGCUUUGAGCUUCUCCCACUCUACUCUGGUUGACUUGUAACAUUAACAUUAGAAGUAUCUUCUCAGUUCCUCGAGUAGCAGAGGCGUGGCCAGAGCACUGCCAGGGGACAAUUCCCUGGCGGGCGAUAGUAUCCACGUGAUGAUAACUUCCUGUACAGGUGGGAGCUUCCUGUUCUUUUUUAUGGUGACUGCAAGAGAUGUUCUAAAGGUUCUUUGGUUCAGUGACAAUAUUCAGAUUAUUUCUAAGAAUUUUAACAAUUACCGUUACGUAUUCAAAAGCUUACCUAGCAUUAACAGACACAGGAGAAACCCCUCCUCCGAGAUGGAGGUAUUACUUGCAAUGGUGUUAUCAAGAGUGCUCUAAUUUAUUUUUUUAACAGAAUUAAGCAGUAAAAUGUGGGUAUGGUUGAGAAGAUAGAAAAACAGCUUUUCUAGGCCGUGCUUAGACAAGUAGUCAUGCAGGUAACUACACUGAUUCACCUACAUGUUUGUCACUAAAAGCCAUUUUCUGCCCUUAUAACCUCCCCCAGCAUUGCUAUUAAUAUGUAAAUCAUAUAUUUCAUAUGCCUUUGGGUAUUAUAAGUAAAAGUGAUCUUUUCUCCUUUUAAAAAGUUGCUGUAAUAGUAUGCUGACUUCAGUAUUUUAGGUCAGGGCAGGAUUAAUUAUGUAACUGUAUUGCCCAGGUCUUUAUUGGUGAGAUUCAAAUGUGAAGAUGAGAAAAAAAUUUAAAAAGGUUUGAGUAACAAAUCAGCAAGGAUUGCCAACAGUAAAGAGUAGGCAUUGCAAGGAUAUCUGGUAAUGGGGGAUAUUCUUUGGAUGUUUUGCUACACUGAGUUCACACUAUAAUUGUUGAAAUUGAGUCUAGCUAAAAGUUUGGUAAGAGUUUUGGGUGUUAGAAGUUUUAUACUUAUGUAUGAAUAGUUUCUAAAUUCCUUUAGGCUGUAGACCUUGAUGUAAUUGAAAGACAGAUGUCCUUUCCCAAGGAUAGCUGUAUUUUUCAUGGUUUUAAAUGAGGAACCAAAUAUUCAUUUCAUGAAAUAAUAUAAAUAUUAGAAAACAAUACGGAAAAUGACAUAUAAAAGUGACAUUUAAAAAUGAAAGUCUCUGUAAUGCCUGGUGUCUGCUGAGAACAAUCUAUCCCUGUGAAACGUUUGAAAGAUGUUGAAUUUGAAAGUCCAAGAGUUUGUUAUAUAAAUCAAGUUUCUCAGGACAUUUGAGGUGACAUUGUCAUGUAUUUCUGUUGUCGUUUGGAAAAGGCAUUUCUUUAGUUAGGCUAUGAGGAAACCACACACUUCAUUUUGUAAGAGUCCUUAAGUGCAGUGACGUAGAGAAGAGUAGAACAUGUGAGCUGGGAUCCCCAGUGCUCGUCAGUUCAUGGUCAACCCACUCCCCCAGUGGGGCUGUGAAGUGCAUAUUUCAUGGAGCUGAACAAAGCCUCAAUAGAAUAUCGUCUCUUAUCUGAGGAAAGACCACCUUAAACCACAUGCCUAUUUAGAGAUUGAAUAAAACUGUGAGGACACACUGUGUGGAUGCCUUAAGGUGACUGGUGUUGGUGCUGGUGCUGGUGCUGGUGGACAUGUAUGCACCCAUGAAUUAGGCUGCAGGGAACAGUCUAUUUCCAUUCAUCUUCAUAUAACCCAAGUCGUUCCUGUGCAUAACCUUGCUGAGGAAAUGAGAAACACGGUGCUGGUUACUUUGAUGUGUUUGGGGAGGCUGAUGUCAUUGGUUAAUAUUAAGGCACUAACCAGUGCCCAAGCCUUCCUUCAGUACCACUCAUACAUCUACAUCCAUUCAUUCAUCUAUGCAAGCUUGCGUUUUUGUGAUUUGUAUUUUACACCUGAACGUCAGGUUUAACAUCGUGUUUUAAAUAAUUUUAAACCAAAGUAUUGUAUAAGUCUGUGUGCUUUGUUUUUGUGAAUAGUUUGUGAUAAAUACCUAUCUUGUUUUCUCUUAAUAAAGUUAUCUGUUUAUUGAGUCA
Rattus norvegicus (Norway rat) is the source of this 7489-nucleotide RNA transcript. It is a transcript of the gene named coiled-coil domain containing 50, with no coding region annotated. Lineage: Eukaryota; Metazoa; Chordata; Mammalia; Rodentia; Muridae. The record is from RefSeq and is marked validated.